UUAUCGCUAGUUCAUUUGUAUAACAAUGGCUACAUAUAUUUUUUAGCUUUUGCCAGUUUAGGGUCUUUGACCGAAACGGGUUGUCCAUAUAAAUGGCUGUGUUCAUGAUCAAUUCAAAAAUAUUUAAAUUCUUCUUUUAAACUGCAACUCUUCAUUCAUUUAUUUCAGCAAAAUACAGAUUGAGCGAAAAGACAAAGUGCGAACACCCAAAGAUGUGCUCAUUAUUAUCAGGAUGGACAACAGUUUAUGCUUUUGAUAAAGCAGUCAUGCCAAGGAAGAGAUUAGCAUGUAACCAGCAAAGUUCAUCCUUGUCUUCAACACUAUGAUCUUCGAAAAUGCAUUUUGCCAAUUUGCGUUUUGGUGAACCUGAGCUUACCAAGUUUACAUCUUACUGUCAGUUUGGACAUUGUGUAGAUAAUAAUAUGGACAAUAUAUUGUGUUGUGAUUGACUGUUUUUUUAACAGAUUAAGUGUUUUAUUCCAGACUUAACAUGUCAUUUUUCAUCAAGGAAUAAACAAAAAUACAAUUGUAUUGAUAUGCAUGAAUUUGUAGUACAAAAUAUCAACAAUGUGUAUCUUAUGUUGUUUUUUAACAGUCUGUCAUCCAUAAGCAAUCAUAUUAAGCAUGUUAAGUAUGUUAAGGGAAUAUAAUGUAUACAUUUUUGUUGUUUCUGCAAACUAAGUCAGAUACAUGAAAAUCUGUUUUAUGAUCAAUGAUGAAAAACUCACUCAUAGUGAUCUCACUAUAAAAUAUUCUGUCCAGUGUAAUAAAUAAAUUGUAUUGUAUGCCUGGUAUGUGUUCUAAAAAUAAAAUCACAAAUACUGUUGAUGUUCAUAUUGACAUCAAGAUAUGUGAUGUAAACAUAUGUAGUCAUAUUAUGUAUACAUGUAUAUUGUUUUUACCGGUAGACAAAAAUUACGAAGUGUAACGUUCAAUCUAUGAUGAUGUGUGCAAUUAAAUAUGUCUUGCUUUGCAUUGACCGUUCCAAGGCGGUGACCCCAGCUUUAUUCAUAUUUUGUGUUUAUGUUGGUUUGUAUUGUGCUGUAUUGUGCUGUUUUGUACUGUUUUGGCAAUCGGUCACUUGCCUUAAAUAAAGGACCAACUAAUUGCUUUUAAUGAGAAUUCAAUACUGCUCCAGCAGCUGGAGUUUCACUUCUUUAUAUUGCUGAUUGCUAAAAUUUUGUUUAAGUUAAAAAUCGUGUUU
Molecule: long non-coding RNA, 1204 nt
Organism: Dreissena polymorpha
Lineage: Eukaryota; Metazoa; Mollusca; Bivalvia; Myida; Dreissenidae
Exons: 3
Source: RefSeq, a predicted model, not a curated record